GACUCUCUGGUGUAAUGGUAGCACAUCCGACACCAGAUUAGAAGGUAAUGUUCGAGUCAUACCAGGGUCA
Characodon lateralis is the source of this 70-nucleotide non-coding RNA. NCBI's taxonomy places the organism in Eukaryota, Metazoa, Chordata, Actinopteri, Cyprinodontiformes, Goodeidae. The record is from the annotation of a GenBank genome assembly.